GUUUCUACGGGACGCAGCAGUGGGGAAUAUUGGGCAAUGGGCGCAAGCCUGACCCAGCAACGCCGCGUGAAGGAAGAAGGCUUUCGGGUUGUAAACUUCUUUUCUGAGGGACGAAGAAAGUGACGGUACCUCAGGAAUAAGCCACGGCUAACUACGUGCCAGCAGCCGCGGUAAUACGUAGGUGGCAAGCGUUAUCCGGAUUUAUUGGGUGUAAAGGGCGUGUAGGCGGGAAUGCAAGUCAGAUGUGAAAACUAUGGGCUCAACCCAUAGCCUGUAUUUUAAACUGACUUUCUU
Molecule: ribosomal RNA, 294 nt
Filed under: uncultured bacterium
Lineage: Bacteria
Description: partial 16S ribosomal RNA
Rfam family: Bacterial small subunit ribosomal RNA
Source: RNAcentral